UUAUUUUCACUAUAUCCACAGCAGUGCUCUAUCUACAGCAGUAGGAGCCAUGCCAAUCAAUACCUGACUGAAAGGAGAAAUUUUGUAUGGGUUUAUUAGAGACUUUUCUCUGGAGACACACUUGUGAAGAAAUGGAGUCAAUAUUUGGAAAAGGGAGAAGCUGACCUGAAUGUAGCGGGAACUGAGCCUUCAACUAACCUCAGCCUGGGGAUCUUUUUGCCAGCAGUUGAUACCAUUCCGAAGAGUGACCAAGAGGAGUACGACCAGUGUUUCCCCAGGAAGCAUGAACAAACAAGAUCCUGAGAGAAGCUACAGUUCUGCUAUAAGAAGCAAGUCAAUCGUGGCAAAUCAAAUAGGAGACCAGAAGACUUUGGUGGGUUAUCUUGUGCUCCACCAAAACCUGAAAUGCAUACACCUCUCUCCAGGUCAGAAUCACU
Homo sapiens (human) is the source of this 437-nucleotide long non-coding RNA. RefSeq lists it as uncharacterized. The record is from RefSeq and is a predicted model, not a curated record. The transcript has 3 exons. Lineage: Eukaryota; Metazoa; Chordata; Mammalia; Primates; Hominidae.